RNAcentral lists this transfer RNA (67 nucleotides) under Marmota marmota marmota (Alpine marmot). It matches the Rfam family "tRNA". Rfam says of the family: Transfer RNA (tRNA) molecules are approximately 80 nucleotides in length. RNAcentral also lists the same sequence under 1 other name. The record is from Rfam by way of RNAcentral. Lineage: Eukaryota; Metazoa; Chordata; Mammalia; Rodentia; Sciuridae.
GGAGUUGUAGCUCAGUGGUAGAGUGCUUGCCUUGCAUGUGUGAAGUACUGUUUGAUUCUCAGCACCA